GAUGAACGCUGGCGGCGUGCCUAAUACAUGCAAGUCGAGCGAACAGACGAGGAGUUUGCUCCUCUGACGUUAGCGGCGGACGGGUGAGUAACACGUGGAUAACCUACCUAUAAGACUGGGAUAACUUCGGGAAACCGGAGCUAAUACCGGAUAAUAUAUUGAACCGCAUGGUUCAAUAGUGAAAGACGGUUUUGCUGUCACUUAUAGAUGGAUCCGCGCCGCAUUAGCUAGUUGGUAAGGUAACGGCUUACCAAGGCAACGAUGCGUAGCCGACCUGAGAGGGUGAUCAGCCACACUGGAACUGAGACACGGUCCAGACUCCUACGGGAGGCAGCAGUGGGGAAUCUUCCGCAAUGGGCGAAAGCCUGACGGAGCAACGCCGCGUGAGUGAUGAAGGUCUUCGGAUCGUAAAACUCUGUUAUUAGGGAAGAACAGAUGUGUAAGUAACUAUGCACGUCUUGACGGUACCUGAUCAGAAAGCCACGGCUAACUACGUG
RNAcentral lists this ribosomal RNA (497 nucleotides) under uncultured bacterium. RNAcentral describes it as "partial 16S ribosomal RNA". It matches the Rfam family "Bacterial small subunit ribosomal RNA", at positions 28 to 507 of the family's 1533-position model. The record is from RNAcentral.